UACGUAGGGGGCAAGCGUUGUCCGGAAUUAUUGGGCGUAAAGCGCGCGCAGGCGGCUCUUUAAGUCUGGUGUUUAAUCCCGAGGCUCAACUUCGGGUCGCACUGGAAACUGGAGAGCUUGAGUGCAGAAGAGGAGAGUGGAAUUCCACGUGUAGCGGUGAAAUGCGUAGAGAUGUGGAGGAACACCAGUGGCGAAGGCGACUCUCUGGGCUGUAACUGACGCUGAGGCGCGAAAGCGUGGGGAGCGAACAGG
This 252-nucleotide ribosomal RNA is filed under the name uncultured bacterium. RNAcentral describes it as "partial 16S ribosomal RNA". It matches the Rfam family "Bacterial small subunit ribosomal RNA", at positions 524 to 776 of the family's 1533-position model. The record is from RNAcentral.